CUACGGGGCGCUGCAGUGAGGAAUAUUGCACAAUGGGGGGAACCCUGAUGCAGCAACGCCGCGUGGAGGAUGACGCAUUUCGGUGUGUAAACUCCUUUUAUAUGUCAAGAAAAUGACGGUAGCAUAUGAAUAAGCACCGGCUAACUCCGUGCCAGCAGCCGCGGUAAUACGGAGGGUGCAAGCGUUACUCGGAAAUCACUGGGCGGAAAGGACGCGUAGGCGGGUUGGAAAGUCAGGUGUGAAAUCCUACAGCUUAACUGUAGAACUGCACUUGAAACUUCUAAUCUAGAGUAUGGGAGGGGGAGAUGGGAAUAGUGGUGUAGGGGUAAAAUCCGUAGAUAUCACUAGGAAUACCUAAAGCGAAGGCGAUCUCCUGGAACAUUACUGACGCUAAGGCGUGAAAGCGUGGGGAGCAAACAGGAUUAGAUACCCUCGUAGUC
Molecule: ribosomal RNA, 440 nt
Filed under: uncultured bacterium
Lineage: Bacteria
Description: partial 16S ribosomal RNA
Rfam family: Bacterial small subunit ribosomal RNA
Source: RNAcentral